RNAcentral lists this transfer RNA (72 nucleotides) under Listeria monocytogenes. RNAcentral describes it as "tRNA-Gly". It matches the Rfam family "tRNA". From Rfam's summary of the family: Transfer RNA (tRNA) molecules are approximately 80 nucleotides in length. Their secondary structure includes four short double-helical elements and three loops (D, anti-codon, and T loops). The record is from RNAcentral. Lineage: Bacteria; Bacillati; Bacillota; Bacilli; Caryophanales; Listeriaceae.
GCGGAAGUAGUUCAGUGGUAGAACAUCACCUUGCCAAGGUGGGGGUCGCGGAUUCGAACCCCGUCUUCCGCU